AUGAAACAUCGAAACUGGGCUGGUAACCCGCGUUGCUCCUUUUGCAACUGCAGGGAAACCUAUUUGCACUUGUUUUUCCUUUGCCCUGUUGCUAGAGUAGUUUGCCGCACAGUGGGUGCGAUGCUUGGAACUGACCUAUGCCCCAACAACUUAUGGCAGUUCUACUCUUGGUGUUAUGCCUUUCUUCCUCAUGGAGAGAAACAUUUUACUGCGGGGCUAGCGGCUGUCUGCUAGGCCAUUUGGAACCGCAGAAAUCAUGCCACUUUUGAAUUCAAGAAAUUGUCAUCUCCUUUUGAGAUUGUUUUCACGGCUUGCACACAUUUAUCUUACUGGGCAUGUCUGCUGAAAGGCGAGGAACGAUCGGAGCUGGAGCAUGGCACGGCGCUUCUGAAGAGGAAUGCUAAGGAGUUGAUGAGCCUCUACGCAACUGCGUACACGGGAACCACCCUGGGAUGA
Molecule: ribosomal RNA, 456 nt
Filed under: Triticum aestivum (bread wheat)
Lineage: Eukaryota; Viridiplantae; Streptophyta; Magnoliopsida; Poales; Poaceae
Description: partial small subunit ribosomal RNA
Source: RNAcentral